RNAcentral lists this ribosomal RNA (368 nucleotides) under Erythrolamprus miliaris (military ground snake). RNAcentral describes it as "partial 16S ribosomal RNA". It matches the Rfam family "Bacterial large subunit ribosomal RNA", at positions 1970 to 2557 of the family's 2925-position model. The record is from RNAcentral. Lineage: Eukaryota; Metazoa; Chordata; Lepidosauria; Squamata; Dipsadidae.
UGUCCACUAAUUAUGGACUAGCAUGAAAGGCAAAAUGAGGGUUUAACUGUCUCUUAUAGUAAAUCAAUUAAACUGAUCCACCAGUAAAAAAGCUGGAAUAAACACACAAGACCAGAAGACCCUGUGAAGCUUAAACUAAACUAUUAAACCACAUAAUAACUACUUUCGGUUGGGGCGACCUUGGAAAAAAAAGAACUUCCAAACUAGUGACAAUCAAUCACCCCCAGGCCAACAAGCCACAUAUGACCCAGCACACCUGAUAAUUGAACCAAGUUACUCCAGGGAUAACAGCGCUAUCUUCUUCAAGAGUCCAUAUCAAAAAGAAGGUUUACGACCUCGAUGUUGGAUCAGGACAUCCUAAUGGUGUA